Molecule: ribosomal RNA, 254 nt
Filed under: uncultured bacterium
Lineage: Bacteria
Description: partial 16S ribosomal RNA
Rfam family: Bacterial small subunit ribosomal RNA
Source: RNAcentral
UACGUAGGGUGCGAGCGUUGUCCGGAAUUAUUGGGCGUAAAGAGCUCGUAGGCGGUGUGUCGCGUCGGUCGUGAAAACUUGGGGCUUAACUCUGAGCUUGCGGUCGAUACGGGCAUCACUGGAGUUCGGCAGGGGAGACUGGAAUUCCUGGUGUAGCGGUGAAAUGCGCAGAUAUCAGGAGGAACACCGGUGGCGAAGGCGGGUCUCUGGGCCGAUACUGACGCUGAGGAGCGAAAGCGUGGGGAGCGAACAGG